RNAcentral lists this ribosomal RNA (465 nucleotides) under Vreelandella stevensii. RNAcentral describes it as "partial 16S ribosomal RNA". It matches the Rfam family "Bacterial small subunit ribosomal RNA", at positions 338 to 795 of the family's 1533-position model. Lineage: Bacteria; Pseudomonadati; Pseudomonadota; Gammaproteobacteria; Oceanospirillales; Halomonadaceae. The record is from RNAcentral.
CCUACGGGGGGCUGCAGUGGGGAAUAUUGGACAAUGGGGGCAACCCUGAUCCAGCCAUGCCGCGUGUGUGAAGAAGGCCCUCGGGUUGUAAAGCACUUUCAGUGAGGAAGAACGCCUGGUGGUUAAUACCCAUCAGGAAAGACAUCACUCACAGAAGAAGCACCGGCUAACUCCGUGCCAGCAGCCGCGGUAAUACGGAGGGUGCGAGCGUUAAUCGGAAUUACUGGGCGUAAAGCGCGCGUAGGUGGCUUGAUAAGCCGGUUGUGAAAGCCCCGGGCUCAACCUGGGAACGGCAUCCGGAACUGUCAAGCUAGAGUGCAGGAGAGGGAGGUAGAAUUCCCGGUGUAGCGGUGAAAUGCGGAGAGAUCGGGAGGAAUACCAGUGGCGAAGGCGGCCUUCUGGACUGACACUGACACUGAGGUGCGAAAGCGUGGGUAGCAAACAGGAUUAGAUACCCUUGUAGUC